RNAcentral lists this ribosomal RNA (586 nucleotides) under uncultured bacterium. RNAcentral's name for it is "bacterial SSU rRNA". The stretch from base 1 to 519 matches the Rfam family "Bacterial small subunit ribosomal RNA", at positions 338 to 873 of the family's 1533-position model. The record is from RNAcentral.
CCUACGGGAGGCAGCAGUAAGGAAUCUUCCACAAUGGACGAAAGUCUGAUGGAGCAACACCGCGUGCAGGAUGACGGCCUUCGGGUUGUAAACUGCUUUUAUAUGGGAAGAUUAUGACGGUACCAUAUGAAUAAGGACCGGCUAACUACGUGCCAGCAGCCGCGGUAAUACGUAGGGUCCAAGCGUUAUCCGGAAUCACUGGGCGUAAAGCGUGCGUAGGUGGCGUGUUAAGUGUGAUGUUAAAUCGUGGGGCUCAACCCUGUCGGUGCAUCACAUACUGGCAUGCUAGAGGACGGCAGAGGCAAGUGGAAUUUGUAGUGUAGCAGUGAAAUGCGUAGAUAUUACAAGGAACACCAAUGGCGAAGGCAGCUUGCUGGGCCAAUCCUGACACUGAGGUACGAAAGCGUGGGGAGCGAACAGGAUUAGAUACCCUGGUAGUCCACGCCGUAAACGAUGCAUACUAGACGUAUGGGGUAUCGACCCCCUGUGCGUCGAAGCUAACGCGAUAAGUANGCCGCUGGAAGUACGGCCGCGAGCUAAACGCAAGAUGAGCGNGAGAGNGCGACGACGACGACGAGGGAGGAGG